Molecule: ribosomal RNA, 1372 nt
Filed under: uncultured bacterium
Lineage: Bacteria
Description: bacterial SSU rRNA
Rfam family: Bacterial small subunit ribosomal RNA
Source: RNAcentral
GAUGAACGCUGGCGGCGUGCCUAAUACAUGCAAGUCGAGCGAACGGACGAGAAGCUUGCUUCUCUGAUGUUAGCGGCGGACGGGUGAGUAACACGUGGAUAACCUACCUAUAAGACUGGGAUAACUUCGGGAAACCGGAGCUAAUACCGGAUAAUAUUUUGAACCGCAUGGUUCAAAAGUGAAAGACGGUCUUGCUGUCACUUAUAGAUGGAUCCGCGCUGCAUUAGCUAGUUGGUAAGGUAACGGCUUACCAAGGCAACGAUGCAUAGCCGACCUGAGAGGGUGAUCGGCCACACUGGAACUGAGACACGGUCCAGACUCCUACGGGAGGCAGCAGUAGGGAAUCUUCCGCAAUGGGCGAAAGCCUGACGGAGCAACGCCGCGUGAGUGAUGAAGGUCUUCGGAUCGUAAAACUCUGUUAUUAGGGAAGAACAUAUGUGUAAGUAACUGUGCACAUCUUGACGGUACCUAAUCAGAAAGCCACGGCUAACUACGUGCCAGCAGCCGCGGUAAUACGUAGGUGGCAAGCGUUAUCCGGAAUUAUUGGGCGUAAAGCGCGCGUAGGCGGUUUUUUAAGUCUGAUGUGAAAGCCCACGGCUCAACCGUGGAGGGUCAUUGGAAACUGGAAAACUUGAGUGCAGAAGAGGAAAGUGGAAUUCCAUGUGUAGCGGUGAAAUGCGCAGAGAUAUGGAGGAACACCAGUGGCGAAGGCGACUUUCUGGUCUGUAACUGACGCUGAUGUGCGAAAGCGUGGGGAUCAAACAGGAUUAGAUACCCUGGUAGUCCACGCCGUAAACGAUGAGUGCUAAGUGUUAGGGGGUUUCCGCCCCUUAGUGCUGCAGCUAACGCAUUAAGCACUCCGCCUGGGGAGUACGACCGCAAGGUUGAAACUCAAAGGAAUUGACGGGGACCCGCACAAGCGGUGGAGCAUGUGGUUUAAUUCGAAGCGACGCGAAGAACCUUACCAAAUCUUGACAUCCUUUGACAACUCUAGAGAUAGAGCUUUCCCCUUCGGGGGACAAAGUGACAGGUGGUGCAUGGUUGUCGUCAGCUCGUGUCGUGAGAUGUUGGGUUAAGUCCCGCAACGAGCGCAACCCUUAAGCUUAGUUGCCAUCAUUAAGUUGGGCACUCUAAGUUGACUGCCGGUGACAAACCGGAGGAAGGUGGGGAUGACGUCAAAUCAUCAUGCCCCUUAUGAUUUGGGCUACACACGUGCUACAAUGGACAAUACAAAGGGCAGCGAAACCGUGAGGUCAAGCAAAUCCCAUAAAGUUGUUCUCAGUUCGGAUUGUAGUCUGCAACUCGACUACAUGAAGCUGGAAUCGCUAGUAAUCGUAGAUCAGCAUGCUACGGUGAAUACGUUCCCGGGUCU